Molecule: long non-coding RNA, 1390 nt
Filed under: Carica papaya (papaya)
Lineage: Eukaryota; Viridiplantae; Streptophyta; Magnoliopsida; Brassicales; Caricaceae
Description: long non-coding RNA (CPAP_LNC009925)
Source: RNAcentral
UUCCAUUCUCUCAAAGCUAAAUUAAAAUACAAAAUUUAAAAUAAAUUUCACUCAAUAUAAUUCAUUUGUUCCAAUCAUACCCAUAAUUAUUUGUUUCUUUACCGAGCUAAUUAGCAUCACCAAGAAGCUUGAAUUCCUCUAAGCUCUUGGAAUCCUCCCAUGGUUGAACCCAGACCUUGGCUUCGCAAAGGUCUUGUGACCAUCUAAAGCCUCCGAAGUGAUGUAGGACAUAAUGCCUGCAUCCACUUGCUCUUUUAGAUUCACAAUCUUCUUGAACUGUAGCAGCGCGUUCUGCAAUAUGCUCAUCGCCAAAUUUAUUGUUGCAAAUUGAAACACAAUGUUCACAGCUGAUAAAAAUUGAUUUGCAGCAGCCCGAUAACGACGAACAGUUUAGCCUAUUAUAUUUGUUAGUGAAGUAAAUUAAGGCUAUUCUUUUCUACAGUAUGAGUUUCUAUAUUGUGUAAUUUAGACAAAAUCAAUUGUUACGUGCACAGAACGAUGAUGAAAUCAAAGCUGUCAAAUGACAAUAUAAUUGAGAAAUCACGGAUAAGUUGCCUGCAAAUAUUUCCCUCUUAGGUUGUUCAUGGAUUAAUUUUUGAUCUAUUUCCCUUUUCUACGCACAAGCUACUUAACAUGAAUUCACUAUGUAUAAAAAACAUCAGAUCUUAGAGAAAACAUGAAGCUAAACCACUCGAAGUAAAUCACAGAAGAAAGGAACAACAGAAACCGCUGAAAAAUUUUGGAGAAGCAAGAGACAUAUAUACAUACAUACACAAGCCAUCAGCUGAAGAUUUAAUUAAGCCAACAAAACUCCUCUGUUUGCCGAUAUAUAAUUUGUAAGUUCAUAGUUAUGAUUAUUUCAUCGAACUACAUGAUCAGGUGCUUGAAUUUCAACAUAAUCUUAAUUCCCUAGUGGAAAUUUUCUAGGAAACGAACAGAAUCACGGAAGUAUGAAUUGAAGAAAGGGGAGUAAUUACCUAUUUCCAGUUGUGCUCGUCAACGGCGAAACGAGUAAGGUUAAACUCACGAGUUUUUGCCUUUCUCUCGACGUCCGAAAUACAACCGUCCAAAGGCUCCUCCGCCAUUUUCGUUUGUGUUUCUUCGUUUCUCUCUCCGAAUCUGAUCUUCUUCCCGUUCGCUGCUCUGAUUUUGAUGAACUCCGUCUCCGUUAUUAUUCCCUCAUUUCUAAUCAUAUCAUCCCAACGGCAUGUUUUACAUUUACCUUUUUAAAAAAAAUAAUUUUACAUUUAUUUUUUUAACAAAAAAUAUUUAGCAUAAAAAAUAUUUCAGAAAAAUCAGACUCUAAAUUUAAUUUAAAAUAAAUAUUUAUUUAUCAGCAAAUUUCUCUCUCAAAAAUUCAUAAAAAAAUUAUCUUUAUAGUUAAUAAUUC